This is a non-coding RNA of Cynocephalus volans (Philippine flying lemur), 525 nucleotides long. The record is from the annotation of a RefSeq genome assembly. NCBI's taxonomy places the organism in Eukaryota, Metazoa, Chordata, Mammalia, Dermoptera, Cynocephalidae.
AUGCAGACGCUGGGGUUCCUUCUAUGCCUGAUGGCAGCUCCCUCGGGUGUCUUGUCUGAACUGACAUUGAGGGAGUCUGGCCCAGGACUGGUGAAGCCCUCGCAGACCCUGUCCCUCACCUGCACUGUCUCUGGGGGCUCUGUCACCAGCAGUGACUGGUGGCAUUGGAUCCGCCAGCGUCCUGGGAAAGCGCUGGAGUGGAUGGGGUACUGGACAGGGAGCACGAGCUACAACUCGGCUUUCGAGGGCCGCAUCUCCAUCACCGCCGACGCAUCCAACAACCAGUUCUCCCUGCAGCUGAGCUCUGUGACCGCCGACGACACAGCCGUGUAUUGCUGUGCAAAAGACACAGUGAGGGGAAGUCAGCGUGAGCCCAGACACGAACCUCCCCGCAGGGCUCACAGACCACCAGGGGGCGCUCGGGACCACCGACCUCCGGGAGCAGCCCCAGGAGCAGGUGCAGAGAAGGGGGCUGGGGGCGAGGGGCUUCCUGUCAGAUCGAGCAUGACCAUCUGCACAAGAUGA